This 492-nucleotide ribosomal RNA is filed under the name uncultured bacterium. RNAcentral describes it as "partial 16S ribosomal RNA". It matches the Rfam family "Bacterial small subunit ribosomal RNA", at positions 29 to 507 of the family's 1533-position model. The record is from RNAcentral.
AGUGAACGCUGGCGGUAGGCCUAACACAUGCAAGUCGAACGGCAGCACAGUAAGAGCUUGCUCUUACGGGUGGCGAGUGGCGGACGGGUGAGGAAUACAUCGGAAUCUACUUUUUCGUGGGGGAUAACGUAGGGAAACUUACGCUAAUACCGCAUACGACCUACGGGAGAAAGCAGGAGAUCUUCGGACCUUGCGCGAUUGAAUAAGCCGAUGUCGGAUUAGCUAGUUGGCGGGGUAAAGGCCCACCAAGGCGACGAUCCGUAGCUGGUCUGAUAGGAUGACCAGCCACACUGGAACUGAGACACGGUCCAGACUCCUACGGGAGGCAGCAGUGGGGAAUAUUGGACAAUGGGCGCAAGCCUGAUCCAGCCAUACCGCGUGGGUGAAGAAGGCCUUCGGGUUGUAAAGCCCUUUUGUUGGGAAAGAAAAGCAGCAGGUUAAUACCCCGCUGUUCUGACGGUACCCAAAGAAUAAGCACCGGCUAACUUCGUG